AUACGUAGGGGGCAAGCGUUGUCCGGAAUUAUUGGGCGUAAAGCGCGCGCAGGCGGUUCUUUAAGUCUUGUGUUUAAUCCCGGGGCUCAACCCUGGUUCGCAUGGGAAACUGGAGGGCUCGAGUGCAGGAGAGGAAAGUGGAAUUCCACGUGUAGCGGUGAAAUGCGUAGAGAUGUGGAGGAACACCAGUGGCGAAGGCGACUUUCUGGCCUGUAACUGACGCUGAGGCGCGAAAGCGUGGGGAGCAAACAGGAUUAGAUACCCUGGUAGUCCACGCCGUAAACGAUGAGUGCUAGGUGUCGGGGGUGUCAUGCCCUCGGUGCCGAAGUUAACACAGUAAGCACUCCGCCUGGGGAGUACGCUCGCAAGAGUGAA
Molecule: ribosomal RNA, 375 nt
Filed under: uncultured bacterium
Lineage: Bacteria
Description: bacterial SSU rRNA
Rfam family: Bacterial small subunit ribosomal RNA
Source: RNAcentral